RNAcentral lists this small RNA (180 nucleotides) under Chitinimonas taiwanensis. RNAcentral's name for it is "Manganese sequence". It matches the Rfam family "Manganese Mn2+ riboswitch aptamer (yybP-ykoY)". Rfam says of the family: This RNA was originally discovered in E. coli during a large scale screen and was named SraF. The family was later found to exist upstream of related families of protein genes in many bacteria, including the the yybP and ykoK genes in B. subtilis. The specific functions of these proteins are unknown, but this structured RNA element may be involved in their genetic regulation as a riboswitch. Lineage: Bacteria; Pseudomonadati; Pseudomonadota; Betaproteobacteria; Neisseriales; Chitinibacteraceae. The record is from RNAcentral.
CGCGCCGUCUUUGGGGAGUAGCCGUUCCGCCACCCCGGCGGAAGCAAGCGUCAACAUACUUGGUCCACCUGACCAUGGCGCCUGCAACGAAGUCGCCCGACUUCGCCUGGCAAGACCAUGGACGCAUCCGACCGGCAAGGGGCCGCGGCGGACUGCGUCUAUGCGUUUUCUGCCGGCCCC